Molecule: ribosomal RNA, 1514 nt
Filed under: uncultured bacterium
Lineage: Bacteria
Description: bacterial SSU rRNA
Rfam family: Bacterial small subunit ribosomal RNA
Source: RNAcentral
AGAGUUUGAUCCUGGCUCAGAACGAACGCUGGCGGCGUGCUUAACACAUGCAAGUCGAACGCGAACGUUUUCUUCGGAAAACUAGUAGAGUGGCGCACGGGUGAGUAACGCGUAAGUAAUCUACCCUCGCAUCCGGGAUAACCCACCGAAAGGUGUGCUAAUACCUGAUACGUCUCAUUUAAUAUCUUUUGAUGAGAGAAAGGUGGCCUCUUCAUGAAAGCUACUGUGCGGGGAGGAGCUUGCGUACCAUUAGCUAGUUGGUAGGGUAAGGGCCUACCAAGGCGAUGAUGGUUAGCGGGUCUGAGAGGAUGAUCCGCCACACUGGAACUGGAACACGGACCAGACUCCUACGGGAGGCAGCAGUGAGGAAUAUUGCGCAAUGGGGGAAACCCUGACGCAGCAACGCCGCGUGAGUGAUGAAGGCCCUCGGGUCGUAAAGCUCUGUCAAGUGGGAAGAACCUGCCCAAUGCCAAUACCAUUGGGCACUGACGGUACCACUGGAGGAAGCACCGGCUAACUCCGUGCCAGCAGCCGCGGUAAGACGGAGGGUGCAAGCGUUAUUCGGAAUUACUGGGCGUAAAGGGCGCGCAGGCGGCUCUUUAAGUCAGGCGUGAAAGCCCGGGGCUAAACUCCGGAAGUGCGUCUGAGACUAAGGGGCUUGAGUACGGGAGAGGGAAGUGGAAUUCCUGGUGUAGAGGUGAAAUUCGUAGAUAUCAGGAGGAACACCGGUGGCGAAGGCGACUUCCUGGACCGAUACUGACGCUGAGGCGCGAAAGCGUGGGGAGCAAACAGGAUUAGAGACCCUGGUAGUCCACGCCCUAAACGAUGAAUGUUAGUCGUCGGGCAGCUAGUCUGUUCGGUGAUGCAGCUAACGCAUUAAACAUUCCGCCUGGGGAGUACGGUCGCAAGAUUAAAACUCAAAGGAAUAGACGGGGACCCGCACAAGUGGUGGAGCAUGUGGUUUAAUUCGAAGAUACGCGAAGAACCUUACCUAGCCUUGACAUAUUUAAGAACACUUUAGAGAUAGAGUGGUGCCUUCGGGAGCUUUUAUACAGGUGCUGCACGGCUGUCGUCAGCUCGUGUCGUGAGAUGUUGGGUUAAGUCCCGCAACGAGCGCAACCCUCGUCACUAGUUACUAACGGUUCGGCCGAGGACUCUAGUGAGACUGCCUUCGCAAGGAGGAGGAAGGUGAGGACGACGUCAAGUCAUCAUGGCCCUUACGGCUAGGGCAACACACGUGCUACAAUGGCCAGGACAAUGAGAAGCAAUACCGCGAGGUGGAGCAAAUCUAUAAACCUGGUCUCAGCUCGGAUUGUUCUCUGCAACUCGAGAGCAUGAAGCUGGAAUCACUAGUAAUCGUAGAUCAGCUAUGCUACGGUGAAUACGUUCCCGGGUCUUGUACUCACCGCCCGUCACACCAUGGGAGUUGAUUUCACUCCGAAGCCGGGGAACGCUAAACAUGGCUACCCUCCACGGUGGAAUCAGCGACUGGGGUGAAGUCGUAACAAGGAACC